GACGAACGCUGGCGGCGUGCUUAACACAUGCAAGUCGAACGGAAAGGCCCUGCUUUUGUGGGGUGCUCGAGUGGCGAACGGGUGAGUAACACGUGAGUAACCUGCCCUUGACUUUGGGAUAACUUCAGGAAACUGGGGCUAAUACCGGAUAGGAGCUCCUGCUGCAUGGUUGGGGCUGGAAAGUUUCGGCUGUUGGGGAUGGACUCGCGGCUUAUCAGCUUGUUGGUGGGGUAGUGGCUGACCCAGGCUUUGACGGGUAGCCGGCCUGAGAGGGUGACCGGCCACAUUGGGACUGAGAUACGGCCCAGACUCCUACGGGAGGCAGCAGUGGGGAAUAUUGCACAAUGGGCGGAAGCCUGAUGCAGCAACGCCGCGUGCGGGAUGACGGCUUUCGGGUUGUAAACCGCUUUCGCCUGUGACGAAGCGUGAGUGACGGUAAUGGGUAAAGAAGCACCGGCUAACUACGUG
This 468-nucleotide ribosomal RNA is filed under the name uncultured bacterium. Its description in RNAcentral is "partial 16S ribosomal RNA". It matches the Rfam family "Bacterial small subunit ribosomal RNA", at positions 28 to 507 of the family's 1533-position model. The record is from RNAcentral.